RNAcentral lists this ribosomal RNA (245 nucleotides) under uncultured bacterium. Its description in RNAcentral is "partial 16S ribosomal RNA". It matches the Rfam family "Bacterial small subunit ribosomal RNA", at positions 524 to 768 of the family's 1533-position model. The record is from RNAcentral.
UACGUAGGUGGCAAGCGUUAUCCGGAAUUAUUGGGCGUAAAGCGCGCGCAGGCGGUUCCUUAAGUCUGAUGUGAAAGCCCACGGCUCAACCGUGGAGGGUCAUUGGAAACUGGGGAACUUGAGUGCAGGAGAGAAAAGUGGAAUUCCACGUGUAGCGGUGAAAUGCGUAGAGAUGUGGAGGAACACCAGUGGCGAAGGCGGCUUUUUGGCCUGUAACUGACGCUGAGGCGCGAAAGCGUGGGGAG